CCUACGGUGAGCAGCAGUGGGGAAUAUUGGACAAUGGGCGAAAGCCUGAUCCAGCCAUGCGGCGUGUGUGAAGAAGGCCUUCGGGUUGUAAAGCACUUUCAGUGGGGAAGAAAGCCUUGGGGCUAAUACCCUCGAGGAAGGACAUCACCCACAGAAGAAGCACCGGCUAACUCCGUGCCAGCAGCCGCGGUAAUACGGAGGGUGCGAGCGUUAAUCGGAAUUACUGGGCGUAAAGCGCGCGUAGGCGGUCUGAUAAGCCGGUUGUGAAAGCCCCGGGCUCAACCUGGGAACGGCAUCCGGAACUGUCAGGCUAGAGUGCAGGAGAGGAAGGUAGAAUUCCCGGUGUAGCGGUGAAAUGCGUAGAGAUCGGGAGGAAUACCAGUGGCGAAGGCGGCCUUCUGGACUGACACUGACGCUGAGGUGCGAAAGCGUGGGUAGCAAACAGGAUUAGAUACCCGAGUAGUC
RNAcentral lists this ribosomal RNA (465 nucleotides) under Vreelandella stevensii. RNAcentral's name for it is "partial 16S ribosomal RNA". It matches the Rfam family "Bacterial small subunit ribosomal RNA", at positions 338 to 795 of the family's 1533-position model. Lineage: Bacteria; Pseudomonadati; Pseudomonadota; Gammaproteobacteria; Oceanospirillales; Halomonadaceae. The record is from RNAcentral.